This 5561-nucleotide long non-coding RNA is filed under the name Marmota monax (woodchuck). The record is from RNAcentral. Lineage: Eukaryota; Metazoa; Chordata; Mammalia; Rodentia; Sciuridae.
AAUUUCCAUAUGAAGUUUAGAAGUUGGAAAAAAAUUAAAAACAGAAGCUUGCUGGAAUGUUGAGAUUGUAUUCAAUCUACACAUCAAUUUGAAGAUAAGUAAUAUCUUAAUCAUAUUGCAUCUUCUUACCCAUAUAUAUGGUAUAUUUUUUCACAUAUUUAACUCUUAACUUUUCUCAGCAGUGUUUUACAGUUUUUAGUGUAAAGUCUUGCACAGCUUUUGACAGUGUUAUCCUUAAGAGUUUAAUUAUUUAAUGCUAUUAUAAGUGGAAUAGCAUUUUUUAUUCAAUUUCUGAUUGUUCUUUGCUCUUAUGUAGACAUAGAAGUGACUUUUGCACUUUGGUAUAGUAUUCAAAACUUUUCUAAACUCAUUUAUUAGCUCUCAUUAUUUUAAAGUAAAUUUCAUAGAAUUUUCUAUAUAAACAAUCAUAGCCAAUCUGCAAAUAAGUUGUUUUAUUUCUUCCUUUACAAUAUUUUUAAAAAUUAUUUUUAAAAGGACCUUUUUUUUUCUUUUAUUAUUUCAUUGACUGAACUCUCUCGUUCAAUGUUGAACAAAAGUAGUGAGAGUGGACAUUCUUGCCUUGUUUUCAGUCUAACAGAGAAAAUAUUCAGCGUGUCUUUCAUCAUUGAGUAUGAUGGUAAAUGUAAAUUGUUGGAUUUUUUUUUUUUUGUAAAAACCCUUUUCUUGAUGACGUUCCCUUAUAUUCCUAUCUUACUGUGAAUUUUUAUAAGGAAUCAUUUUGGAUUUUACUUUCUCUGCAUCUAUUGAGAUGAUCACACAUUUUUCAUUUUAAUUUGUUAACAUGGGUAAUUACAUUGAUUAGUUUCCUAGUGUUAAAUAAUCUUGCACUCAUGGGAUAAACCCAACUUGUUACAAAGUAUUAUUCUAUAAUUUUGGAUUCAAUUUGCUAAACCUUUGUUAAGCACCUUUGCAUUGGGUUUUAUGAAGGAAAUUGGUACACAAGAUUUUCUUUUCUUACAGUGUCUUUGGUUUUUAUAUUAGGAUAAUGCUCAUCUGCCUGGCUCAGUUGAAAAGUAUUCAUUCCCUCUAUAAUUCUCUUGAAGAAUUUUAUAAAAUUGGUAUUUUUUCCCUUCCUUUGCUAUUUGUUCAGAUUUUCCACGGAAUUUUUGAGCCUGGAGUUUUCUUUGUUGGAAGAUUUUAAGUUCUAAUUCUAUUCCUUUAACAGAAAAGGAUUAUUUUAAUAGUUGCAUCAGUGGUAUCCUGCAAAUUUUGAUGUUUUGUUUGCAUUUACAGUCAGUUUGGAAUACUUAAUAAUUUCCCUUUAAUUUCUUCUAUUAUCCAAGGACUAUAUCAGAAUGUGUAGUUUAGCUUCCAAAUAUUUGGGAAUUUUCUAGAUUUUUUUUUCUGUCAUUGAUAUCUCAUUUAUUUUCAUUGUGAUAAAAGAACAUACUUUACAGACUUAAAACCUUUAAAAGUUAUUUAGAUACAUUUUAUGGCUUAGAACAUUGUCUGUCUUGGAAAAUGUACCAUGUGUGCCUGAAAGAAUAGGUGUACAUAUUAUUGUUGGAUGUUCUGUAAGUGACAAUUAGGUCAAAUUAGCUGAGAGUGGAUCUGGGGUUGUGGCUCAGUGGUAGAGAGCUUGCCCACAAGUUCAAUUCUCAGCACUACAUAAAAAUAAAUAAAGGUGUUGUGCCCAUCUAUAACUAAAAAAAAUGUUAAAAAAAAACUAGCUGCGAGUGUUCUUCAUCCGUUGUAUACUUACUGAUUUUCUGUUAACACAGUUCAGUUAUUGAAAGAGUUUACAUACCAUUUUGCAUCAUGAUACCUUUUAAUGUUUAAUUAAUACUUCAUGAGAGAAGGAUGCUGUGACUGUCAUCUGGAAGAUGUAUUAUUGUUGAUGCAUGAGAGCAUCCUUCAUUAAUAGCAGCAGCAUAAAAACAAGUUAAAGAAGUUGUUCUAUAAAUUUAAAUCUUGAAAUGAAAAGUUUAAGUUUUUGACUGAUAUGCCAGUUGGCAGUUUCAAUCAGACCAAUCUACAAAAUGAUACACCAGGGCCCAAACUCUAAUGGUUGUGCUCGUAAUUUCAACUUACUUUUUUAUUUAGUUAUAGAGAACUUUCCUUGAAUAAAAUGUUACCAGGUGCUUAAAUAUGUAUAACCCACAAAAGUGUUUUAUCUGUUUAAAAGUGUUGAAGGCACAAAGGAUAGAGAUGGGCCAUCUUUACCUGGACUCCAACUGCUUAGCCUCAUUUGGGGUAUGAUUCUCUUUCUCUCAGAGACAACGCCGGAGGCACUUCAGCCAACGCCUAAGACACUGUGGAACGUUGAAUUCCACAGAUCUGCCUCAAUACUCUGAUAAACAGAAAGAUGAUCCCAAAUACUCACUGGAGUAGAAUGGUAAAUAGAUUUCAACUCUUGUGUCAACCAUAUGAAUUGGCAAACUGCCUAGAGAACUGUUUGAAAAUGUUUCUGAAGUAAAAAAAGAAUAUGCUGGGUGUGUAGUGCACAUCUGCAAUCCCCGUGACCCCAGCGGUUGAGGCAGGAGGGUCACAACUUCAAGGCCAGCCUGGGCAACUUAGUGAGACUCUGCUCAAAAUAAAAUAAUAAACAAAGUAUGGAGAUAUAGCUCAAUGGUAGAGUAUCCUUGGGCUCAAUCCCAGGUACCACAAAAAAAUAAAUAGAUAAAUAAAUAAAUAAAUGUAAUAAGAGAAUAUGUUCAAUCAUCAAUGUCAGGAAUUCCAAUGUCAUGCAUUUGGUAUUCCUGGUCUUGAGAAACAUGCCAAUCUGAUAUUCAAAUCUAGUUUCACAUGAUAUCUGCUGGAUUGAAUUAUAUGUUUGAUAAAUUAGGAAAACUAUGCAAUGGAGUUAGUGAGGCUUUUCCAAAUUGAAAUCAACUGAGAAUGCUUAGGUAACCACGUAGGAGACAGAUUUUUAUAAGGACACCUGGGAAAGAGGCUGUGCAGGAAACCGUCUCGGAGUUUCCCUGCAGGUGAGCUGGUGAGCUGGCCAGGGAACCCCAAACAGCCGACUGCUGCUCUCUCCUAGUGCUUUGCUGUUGUUUUGACUCAGCUUCUCUCUCCUUUUCUUUUACAGCUUCUGCCAUGAUAAAUUCUAGUUCUUUUUAUCUCAAGGCUUCUGCUUUCUUUCUUUAUGUCUCCCUGCUACUUUCUUCUCCAUACACCUCCAGUUCAAAUUCCCUACAGAGAAAGUCAACCUUCCAGAAUGGAGUGCCCCCUGGGGAAGAAUUUCCAUGCCAUGUUUCUGAAUCACCACUUGACAGCUCAUAGAAAGCUUCAUUAGAUCAGGUGCCCACCCCAAGUCCAAUCACCUGAGCUAAGGUGGCCGAACCACAAGGUACAGAGGAUGGAGAAGGGACACCUGUGUCUGAAGGGAUGCUGAUGAAUCCCAGCAGGGGGCAGUGUACCUGUCAGGCAUGGACAUGGCCUGUCCAUUACAGUGAUCUUCAACAGUAUAGUUAUAGUUGUACACUGACUGGACUUGCUUCCUAUUAAAUGGAGAGCAAUUUUCAUAUCACCAGCUAACAUUUUGGUUUUCAAACUGCUUGGCAAAAAGUCUUGAACUCUGCCCAGAAGAGAGACUCAGUAGUAUGUAGGACUCAAAGCUAGGUGAGUCCAUUUUCAACCAGAGCAGUUUCAUGUUAUUCACUUUUAUUAAUUGAAUUUUCAAAUAAAAUUUCACUUGAUGAUGACAUUCUACUAUUCAAAAAUAGUUUGAGUACCCCUGAGCCAGAGGAGCAGAAAAACUUUUGUUUGGAUAACUUUAAAAAAUUUAAAAAGUAGAGUCGUACACUUUUUAAAAGAGAAAUCAAAUAGUAAAAAUUAACAAGAUACACAAUGAAAUAUGAAAUAUAUUUUAACCAGUUUUCUGUAAGAAGAUUGGGGAAAGGUAAACAGGAAAGUCAAAUAAGAGUAUUUCACAACAUUAUAGUCUUCAUUACAAUUGCUUUAAUGUUUUAGAUGUUCUCAGGGAAAUUACUUAGCUGUGAUUGUUUAUAUAUGCUUAUUCAGUAGGAUCAAUAUUUUGAUAAGAAUGAUCAGAUCAUGGGCUGGAUUGUAGCUCAGUGGUAGAGCACUUGCCUAGCAUGUAUCAGGCCCUACAAAACUAACAAAACCCAAAAAACAAAAACAGUGAUCAGAUUAGAAAUUCAUAAGAGUUAAAACAACAUGUCAUUGGAGUUUAUGUUUGACUCUGUUCACAGACACAGAACACUGCCACUUCAGGGUACAAGUCAUAUUAAUUAGCUAUUUAUAAUGAACUGAUAGACUAAGUUGCAUCAUAGAAAUUGCUUGUGUCUUACAGGUUAGGUCAAUAUAUAAUUGUUUUUAUCAUAGGAACCAUAUUCAAUACACUCCAUCAUCUGCCAAGAACAGUUUUUGGAAACAGAAGACAUAUCAGACAUGGUGGUGCACACCUGUAAUCCCAGUGACUCGGGAGGCUGAGGCAGGAGGAUGGCAAGUUUGAGGCCAGCCCCAGCAAUUCAGUGAGGCCCUGUCUCAAAAUAAAAAAGGACUGGAAAUAUAGCUCAGUGAUAAAGCACCCCUGGGUUCAAUAGCCAGUACCAAAACAAACAAACAAACAAAAAUAAACACUGAGGACAUCAUGAUGGUAUUUACAAGCCUGAGUUAUUUUUGUAAUUGAGGAAACAUAUCCUUAUUCUAGCAGUUGGGCCAUCCCAAUAUCUACCAUCCAAUGAUAAUGUCAAGCCACCAUCACCGGCUGGCACAGCAAAUAAAACUAUGGAAACAUGUUGGGCAUUCCACUUCUAGGGCUAAGGAAAUCUACCCCUAAUCCAUCCUGAGAAUGCCCCCCAAGGUAUUCCUUGUUAGUGCCAGGACACUGGGCACUUUUCAGAGUCUACAUGUAUUCAUGAUUUAAGCAGAUAAUUGUUCUAGUAGUCUUAUUUCCCAGAAGACUUGUUAGAUUGAAAGUGUAAAAAUUUGCAGCUUAGCUGUAAAAACACCCAGAUGUGUACAUGGUGGUCCCUCAUCUCCUGGCUGAGAUUACUCCAGAGAAUUCUCACUGCUGAUAUCACUGAGCACAAAAGGGAGAGGGAAGGAUGUUGAAGGGAGUCACAUGGUGUGAGAGGUUUUCUUUCUUGUGUCUUUUAGAGUUUGAUCCAACAGCCUGAUUGGGCUGACAUGAUGUCAAGUUUUGGUUCCUAUUUGCAUUAAAAGGUGAGGCAAUUGGAGUGGAAGCAGAUGUUCGGGCAGUUAAAAAACUCUGCAAGGCAAGUCAUCAACAUCAAAGUCAACUAACAAUGGUGGAAACACUGUGAUAUUCCCACUUUUUUUUUUAAAUAAAUAGAACAAUAACUGGCUUCCAGUACUUAUAUUAAUAAGUAGUAAAAUGCCCCUUUCCUUUUCGUCAUCUCUCUAAUUUGCAUAUGGACAUCUAAACAAGUCGGUUGAGAUGGAACUUUGAUUUAUUUAAAUGGAUGUGCAUAAACAUAGUUAUAGGGGAGAAAAACACAAUAAAAACAUUAUGUUAAUUAAUUUUUAUGUUUAUGUGUACUUAAGCACUCUGGAGCUUUGAUCCUGUUUAACCAAACUAAAGACCCUGUUAUCAUUUGAAUAUGACUUAA